Molecule: long non-coding RNA, 4723 nt
Filed under: Nicotiana tabacum (common tobacco)
Lineage: Eukaryota; Viridiplantae; Streptophyta; Magnoliopsida; Solanales; Solanaceae
Description: long non-coding RNA (NTAB_LNC006327)
Source: RNAcentral
UCGAUUUUACCUUCUGUUUUUCCCCCGCGCCUAGCCCUUUUUCCUUAUUACUCUAAAUCGUCUCUUAAAUAUCCUCGACCCUUCGAACCCUAACCCCUUCGGCGAGUCACAAGGCAAUCCGUCAAGGCUCCAGCAAAGGCUACCAAAUUGCUUCUCCAGUAUAUAUCUUCUAGCUCAUGCAUACCCUAGGGUAAGUAAUUUAACGAUAUAGACAAAGAUUUAGCAUUUGGCUCCUAUGUAUUCUUACUAGUUGAUGUGAGACCACAAAGUUCUUUGUGCUUGGGUAAGUUAUCAAUCNNNNNNNNNNNNNNNNNNNNNNNNNNNNNNNNNNNNNNNNNNNNNNNNNNNNNNNNNNNNNNNNNNNNNNNNNNNNNNNNNNNNNNNNNNNNNNNNNNNNNNNNNNNNNNNNNNNNNNNNNNNNNNNNNNNNNNNNNNNNNNNNNNNNNNNNNNNNNNNNNNNNNNNNNNNNNNNNNNNNNAAGAAUCCAAGUAUAUCAUCUUAUUAGGGUUUCCCGAUAUAUACUCCAAGCGAAGUCAUACACUUUAUUUGCAAGUUUGUAUGCUUGAUUGAAGUUCACUCUUGAGCUUUUAGAAUUUAUUGUAUUAUUUCUGCUUUGCUACUACAGUUUGAGCUGUUUUAAUAUACCGAAGUUGUAGAGUAAUUGGUUAUAGUUUCAAGGCUUAAUUAAUGGCAAUACCCAGGGGUAAAAUAUUAGUAGCCCGUUGAAUUGAAUAUUCUAGAAUUUUUAGGGGAAAUCUGUGUCGUAUGUGCUUUAAACAAUGUUAGAAUAUCUGUGCUCAGAAGAUGUUUGAAAAUAUUUCACAAUAAACACCUUUGAGUGUCCCAAACAAAUAUAGACGCAAUUGACUGAAAAGGCUAAUUGUAUAUCAGCAUGAUAAUUUAUUUUUUUAAAACUUAUUUUAUUGAUCUUUUUGUCUAGUCAUACGUAUGAUCAAAACAUAAAAAUAUAAUUUUUAGAAUCGGGAAGAUUCCACUUCGAUAAUAAUGAUUGUUUAAACUAAUAAUGGUGCUUAACAUUGUAACAUGAACUUUCAAAUAUCUUACUGGUAUUAGUUUUUGAAAGAAACCACUUAAUGUAUUUAGUUACUUUUGAUUAAUAUUUAUUUAUUGAUCAUCCUGGUUAGCCAAUUUUAUAUACGGUGUGAGAAUAUUUAAAAGAAAUAUCUUGUAUACCUUAUAAUAGUAUUUUUGUGGCAUCUGCAAUGACUUACUUUUGGUAGAUUGCAUGUAAAAGAAGAUGUUGUUUGGAUUUGGAUAAUAAGAUGGUGCUAUUCUGCUUUCUUAAAGUGAGUAAUGAUUUUAUUCUGUAUAGGAAAAUAGUUCCUCGAAUUUUGUUUGAAUUAAGAUUGCCUUCUCUCAUUUGUAUAUCAACUGGAAGAGAUAAAUAUUUAUGCAUUGCACAAACAAGCAUCAACUUAACAAUUAAUCUGGUAGAUAUAGCAAUGAUAGGGUUUAGUAGUUGUCGUUUAUGAGGAAGAAGUUUCAAAACUUACUGUGUUGUAAAGGAAUAUGAUAGUAUGGCUCAGCUAUUAAAUUUUAGUCUUCUCCACUUCUUACAAUCUAUGUCCUAGCUCCCAGCUUCUGAUGCUUUCUUCAGUUAUCUUUCUGUGCCACUGUUGAUGACUAUGGUCUUAUUAAUUUGUCCAUUUCACUUUUAUUACUUAGUUCUAAACUGAUUUCCUGCGAAAAGCUCUGAUUUAAUUAUUUAUGAGCUCUUUGAAGAAAUCUAUCAACUGGCUUGUUUGUGAAUCUUCAUGACACUAUUAAGAAAGUUUUAUAAAAUCGGACUUGUUUUCUUGAAGAACUUCCUUUAAGACAUGUUCCAAGUUACAGUAAGAUAUCUGUUUGAGUUAAUUAUAUAAAAGACAUUUGUAUAUGGUAAUCACUUACUCUUUUAUAAAUUGAAGCAAUAUCCUUUUGCAAGUCUUUUUUCUUGCUUUGUAGUCACACACUAUUACCCGAUUUACUUUGGUUUACUUUUCACUAUACAUUAAGGUAACAGUGAGGCAACAAUUGCAUUAGUAAAUGAUGGCAUUUAUUUGGAGAAGUACGUCCAAGAUCCUAUGCAUAUUGAAUUUCAGGUAUUGUUGUACCUUAUUUCAUUUGCCAAUAAAUUUGACGCCUCAUGGAUGUUGGACAUUACUUCUUACUAGUGCUCAUGGGCUGUUGUUUAUGGCUUUUUAUACAUACGAAUGUCUAAGUUGUAGAUUUAUGUUUUUCUUUAUUGACACAUUUACAUAUUUAUUUUUCUUCCAAUACUAGAACUGUAAUGAGCCUUCAAAUAUUGCAUUCUUGCUAAUAUUUAGGUGCAGAAAUGUCUACAUAAAGUCUCUCAUUUUAUACAGAAGAUAAAGCUUGCAAUGAUAUCAUGACCGACUCAAUUUUAGAUCAUCUUUUAAUUUUGAGGGGCCUAAUUAGUGGUUUUCUUUUUUCUUUUCUUUUUUUCCCCUAUUGCAGGAAUCUCCAAACUUUAGCUCAAAUGGUAGAAAAAAAAUACUGUAAGUAGUACUAAACUAAGUGCUGAAAUAUUCAUUAAGAUUUUGAUGUCACGGGAACUAAUAUAAUAGGGUUUGUUAUUUGAUCAAGUAGAUAAGGUUGUUUAUUUACGUUCUAAUAAUAUUCAAAGUUGUUAUUCAAUCUGUUAGAAUGAAUAAUUCCAAGUUAUCCUGAUCAACAUAUGCUAGAUUAUUGAAAAUUUUGAGACCUGGAGAUGUCUAUUUCACAAUUUAAAGGAGCUUGUAGUAGUGUCUUAAAUUUUUUAUAAGGGAAUGAGCAUGGUGUUUGAAAACCUAUGUUUCAUUAUACUCAUUAUGCUUUAGGUGAUUUGCUUAGUUAGAACCCAAGAUUUAUAUAUAUGACAUUAGCUCAAGUCUAGGUAGAAUUCUGCUUGAAAUGGUGUUCUAGAGUGCAAGUGAAAGAAAAAGCUGAAACUGUCUUUUCAUAGUGUACUAAGUUUUGGGUUUGAACACUGGAAUCUUAUUUCAUUACCUACACUAAGAAAUUUCAUAAAUGAAUUGGCUUUUUGAUUAGAAAAUGUGUGAAGUUGGGUAUGAAACUACUAACUAUCUGAGUUCUUUUAUAUUAGUAUUCUUUCUAUUGUUAGAUUUAUAUUAAUAUUCUUUCUAUUGUUAGAUUUACAUUAAUAUUCUUUCUAUUGUUAGCUUUUUAUGUCUAAUGAGUGUCUUGACUUGUACCUCAUAACUACUCCAUCGAGGUUAGUCUUGAUACAUACUGGGUACCGUUGCGGUGUACUCAUUAUGCUUCUUCAUAUUUUUAUGCAAAUCUAGGUACCUCGGAGCGUGCCGAACGUUAGAUAGCUGUUUGAGUUGCUGAGGAGACUUUAAGGUAUACCUGUCAUUCCGCUCGCAAGCGUCGGAGUCACCUUCUGUUGUCUUUCAUUAAUACUGUCAUUUGAAUUCCAGAACAGUGAUAUAUUCAUAUAUUUGUAGUGUGUUUCAGUAGAGCUUAUGACUUUGUACUACCGGUUUUGGGGUUGUAUGACUAUUGUUCGGUUUCAGCUUGUAACGACCUGAUCGGUCGUUUUGAGAAUUCACGUCUUAUUCGGUGGCGUAAGGUCUCGAGCAACUUCGUAUUAUGUGUUAUGACUUGCGUGUAUUACCGAGUUCAGUUUUUGGAUGGUUCGGGAUCAAUUUGGAAAAAAGAUUCAUGUUUUAGAAGCUUAAGCGGUAAGAGUUGACUGGAUUUUUGACUUUUAUGUAGAUGACUCAGAAAUGGUAUUUUGAUGGUUCUAACAGCUUCGUAUGGUAAUUUUGGACUUAGGCGUGCGCUCGAAUUUGGAUUUGAAGGUCCGCAUGGUAAUUUGAAGCAUUUCUGCGAAAAUUCGAAAGUUGAAGUUUUGGAAAGUUGAGAGGUUUGACCGAGAGUUGACUUUGGUGGUAUCGGAGUCGAAAUGUGAUUUUGAGAGUUGGAUUAGCUCUGUUAUGUCACUUGGGACUUGCAUGCAAAAUUCGACUUCAUUCUGGGUUGAUUUGAUAUGUUUCGGCACGAGUUUUGGAAGUUGGAAGAUUUGAAAGUUUAUAAGUUCGAUUCGAGAUGCGAUUCGUAGUUUCGACGUUGGUUGAUGUGAUUUGAGACUUCGAGUAGGUCCGCGUUAUGUUAUGAAACUAGUUGGUAUGUUUGAACGGGGUCCCAGAGGCCCCGAGCGUGUUUCAGAUGGGCUACGAGCCAUUUUUUUAUGUUUUGGAAUGCUGCAUUUCUGGUGUUUGGUGUCCUUCUCUGCGAUCGCGUAGUUGUAGCCGCGAUCGCGAAGGCUGUUUGGUGGGCUGGUCCUUUUUCCUCCUCGCGUUCGCAAGGAUCAGUACGCGAUCACGUUCGUAUGUGCUUCUUUGCGUUCGCUUUAGGCCUUCCGCGUGCGCGUAGUGUUGACCCUGCUGGGGAGGCCGACACUUUGUUCUUCGCAUUCGCAUAACUAUGUGCGCGAUCGCGUAGUACCUCUUCGUGGGGCAGUGUCAUUUCUUCUUCGCGAUCGCGUAAUGCAUUUUUGUGGCAGUCAUUGUUUCUUCUUUGCGAUCGCAUGUGUAUUUCCGCGAUCGCGGUGUGCAAAUACCUGGGCAGCAGAAUAUAUUUUCCAAAAUUGAGGGAUUGGCCAUUUUUAUCAUAUCUUGAGUUGUAGACCUCAGAUUUGAGCGAGUUUUCGUGGGUUUUUCAAGCAAAUCAUUGGUGUAAGUGUUUUUCACCCGGA